Molecule: unclassified non-coding RNA, 479 nt
Filed under: Hevea brasiliensis (rubber tree)
Lineage: Eukaryota; Viridiplantae; Streptophyta; Magnoliopsida; Malpighiales; Euphorbiaceae
Source: RNAcentral
GUUUAAAAAGCAUCAGUUCCAUUUCUUGAUGGCCCUGAACAAUGAACUUAGCUAUAUCUCGAGAAAUAAUAUAACCUGGUCCAUGUGCCCAUGGGGGAUAGAAAGCAGGCGGAUAUUCCUCAGGACUGAUAUACCACUUGUUUUCUUUAUCUCUGUGGGGUGUUGAUUCAAAAGAUAUCCCACCAUAUAAUAGACCAUUAGGAUCCUUUCCCUUGAGACUAGAUAGAACUUCAUCAAUCCUUACAAAAGCAUCAUCGUCCGUCUUCAUAACAUAUUUGGCAGGCAGAAUUUUUACACCCAUAAUGCAAAUUGCUAUGGUCUUCACAGUGAGCAGGCUGUAGUAAUCAACAAAAGGCAAUAGUUGGAUAUCUCCAUAGGCUUGUGCUUCCUUCCAUAGCUCAAAAUUGACCUGCCUAUUUUUGUCAAGACCAAUAAAAAAUCGGACAGCUACUUCUCCUGACCGCACAGCUUCAUAUUGC